AUACGUAGGUGGCAAGCGUUAUCCGGAUUUAUUGGGCGUAAAGCGAGCGCAGGCGGUUUUUUAAGUCUGAUGUGAAAGCCCUCGGCUUAACCGAGGAAGCGCAUCGGAGACUGGGAAACUUGAGUGCAGAAGAGGACAGUGGAACUCCAUGUGUAGCGGUGAAAUGCGUAGAUAUAUGGAAGAACACCAGUGGCGAAGGCGGCUGUCUGGUCUGUAACUGACGCUGAGGCUCGAAAGCAUGGGUAGCGAACAGGAUUAGAUACCCUGGUAGUCCAUGCCGUAAGCGAUGAAUGCUAGGUGUUGGAGGGUUUCCGCCCUUCAGUGCCGCAGCUAACGCAUUAAGCAUUCCGCCUGGGGAGUACGGUCGCAAGACUGAA
RNAcentral lists this ribosomal RNA (377 nucleotides) under uncultured bacterium. RNAcentral describes it as "bacterial SSU rRNA". It matches the Rfam family "Bacterial small subunit ribosomal RNA", at positions 523 to 898 of the family's 1533-position model. The record is from RNAcentral.